GAUGAACGCUAGCUACAGGCUUAACACAUGCAAGUCGAGGGGCAGCAUGGUCUUAGCUUGCUAAGGCCGAUGGCGACCGGCGCACGGGUGAGUAACACGUAUCCAACCUGCCGUCUACUCUUGGACAGCCUUCUGAAAGGAAGAUUAAUACAAGAUGGCAUCAUGAGUCCGCAUGUUCACAUGAUUAAAGGUAUUCCGGUAGACGAUGGGGAUGCGUUCCAUUAGAUAGUAGGCGGGGUAACGGCCCACCUAGUCUUCGAUGGAUAGGGGUUCUGAGAGGAAGGUCCCCCACAUUGGAACUGAGACACGGUCCAAACUCCUACGGGAGGCAGCAGUGAGGAAUAUUGGUCAAUGGGCGAGAGCCUGAACCAGCCAAGUAGCGUGAAGGAUGACUGCCCUAUGGGUUGUAAACUUCUUUUAUAAAGGAAUAAAGUCGGGUAUGGAUACCCGUUUGCAUGUACUUUAUGAAUA
This 471-nucleotide ribosomal RNA is filed under the name uncultured bacterium. RNAcentral describes it as "bacterial SSU rRNA". It matches the Rfam family "Bacterial small subunit ribosomal RNA", at positions 28 to 488 of the family's 1533-position model. The record is from RNAcentral. RNAcentral also lists the same sequence under 1 other name.